This 224-nucleotide ribosomal RNA is filed under the name uncultured bacterium. Its description in RNAcentral is "partial 16S ribosomal RNA". It matches the Rfam family "Bacterial small subunit ribosomal RNA", at positions 15 to 231 of the family's 1533-position model. The record is from RNAcentral.
GAUCUGGCUCAGGAUGAACGCUAGCUACAGGCUUAACACAUGCAAGUCGAGGGGCAGCAUGGUCUUAGCUUGCUAAGACUGAUGGCGACCGGCGCACGGGUGAGUAACACGUAUCCAACCUGCCGUCUACUCUUGGACAGCCUUCUGAAAGGAAGAUUAAUACAAGAUGGCAUCAUGAGUCCGCAUGUUCACAUGAUUAAAGGUAUUCCGGUAGACGAUGGGGA